GGAAAUGAAAGUGCACUAUAAGGUGUGAAAUGUGUAGUGUUAACCAUAAUUUCUCCAGUUAGCACUGCGCGUGUGCAACAAUGAACUUUUUCUAUGCACUCCUCUUCUGUAUGGUGUCCUGCCUCUGUGGAAGUGAAGCAGCGAUCUGGUCCAGAUCUUGUUGCUUGAAAAAAUAUACAGCAAAAUAUCCACCUGUGAAAAAUGUUGUGGAUUGUAAAGUCCAGAGUGCAGGGGUUUGCCCCUUUGAUGCAAUCAUUAUCAAGACCCAUAAAGGCCGGAACCUCUGUUAUGAUCUAAAGGCAGAGUGGGUUAUUAAAAAUGUUGUGAUGAAGGGAAAAGACUCUUGUGAGGUGAUCAUUCCACAGAACAACCCCUAACCACUGAUAUGGCUUAUACUAAUGGUUCUUCAGUUAAG
Ictalurus punctatus (channel catfish) is the source of this 415-nucleotide long non-coding RNA. Lineage: Eukaryota; Metazoa; Chordata; Actinopteri; Siluriformes; Ictaluridae. The record is from Ensembl.